Molecule: ribosomal RNA, 301 nt
Filed under: uncultured bacterium
Lineage: Bacteria
Description: bacterial SSU rRNA
Rfam family: Bacterial small subunit ribosomal RNA
Source: RNAcentral
GUGGCAGCCGCCGCGGUAAUACGUAGGGUGCGAGCGUUAAUCGGAAUUACUGGGCGUAAAGCGUGCGCAGGCGGUUUUGUAAGACAGAUGUGAAAUCCCUGGGCUUAACCUGGGAACUGCGUUUGUGACUGCAAGGCUAGAGUACGGCAGAGGGGGGUGGAAUUCCACGUGUAGCAGUGAAAUGCGUAGAUAUGUGGAGGAACACCGAUGGCGAAGGCGACCACCUGGACUGAUACUGACACUGAGGUGCGAAAGCGUGGGGAGCAAACAGGAUUAGAUACCGUGGUAGUCCACGCCGUAA